UAAAUCAGUAGUUUAUUUUUUCUAAUGUUUGUUGGAUUUUAUUUAUUUAUUUUUUAAUACCCUUCGACUUAUUAGUAAUGACUUUUAGAAAUGAAGCCAUCUUUAUCUAUAUUACAUUUUUUUUCUUGUUAUUUUUCUUCUUCUUGUGUGUCUUCCUUGAUUAUCAUAUAAGUUAGAUUGUUGAGUUGCACAAAAUAUUAAAAAUAUUAAUCACUAUAUAUAUAUAUAUAUAUAUAUAUAUAUAUAAACAUAAUUAUUGUUCUACUUGUCAUAUAUUUGAUUAUUCAAAUUGAGAGUUCUAAUUGUUUCUUUGAGGCCAUUAAUAAGCUCAAUUUUGAAUUUAAGAUAUUUUAAUAGGAUUUCAAUGAUAUUUGCAAUUGCUUUGAAUUUUAUCCUAAAUUCGUUUAACAAAUUCCUUAGAGUAAUCCAAAUUAGAUUUUUUAUUUGUUUUUGCAUUGGUAAAAAAAAAAAAAAAAAAAAAAAAAAACUGAUCAAUUUUUUAUAUUUAUUCUGAAAUUGUGCAAACUCUUUACUGAAAUUUGUACGCAUUAACAGUUAAACUUUUUGGGUGAUUUUUUUAUAAGCUUGAUGUCUCUAAGUUCAUUUCAGAAUCUUUGCUAUCUAUUGCAAUGUAGAUCACAAUAUUCCUCCUUUGCCACGGCUCUUAUUUUGUAGUCUUUCUGUUCUUUUUUUAGCUAUUGGGUGUUGACACAUUUUUUUUGUCCCUGCCAUACACAAUGGGUGACUAGACUCCAUUUUUGAUGAGACAAUUUUCAAAACCCUAAUUCUGAAAGCCCUAACUUUCACAGCUCUGGAAAAAAAACUCUGAUUUGUACUUAGAUCACAUGAAACAAAAAACCUUGUGAUUCCUUUGGUUAAGGAUCAAAGGUAUACAAUACAAAUUCUACAAUUUUGCUGAAAAAACUAGUGAGGAUUAAGAACAAAGUAAGAUAAUUUGAAAAAAUAUAUAUAUAUAUAUAUAUAUAUAUAUAUUUAUUCACACAUAUUCACACACACAUGCAUACAAAUAUAUCUGCACAAUUUUUUGUGUGUGAUUUAAGGCACAAUCAGUGGAAGUUUAUAUUUAUUUUAUUUUCUUGUUUAUGAUAAAUAUAGCAUCUGUGUUUUCAAAGUGUUUUAAUUUUUUUUUGUUAUAUAUAAUUUUCUUUUGAAAAGUAAAAAUCUUUUAUGCAUAAUUGAAAUGGAGGAUGCACACCAUCCAAGAAUGGGCUUUCAAAGUGGUAGGAAAAGGUCCUUGACUUUGCAUACUAUGAUGAAUUGCAAGGAGAUUCUUCCACAACAUAAUGAACAGGAAUUUAUCAUUGCUGAUAUAAAUUGAUUACUUGAUCUUUUUGAAUUAAAAAUUAAAAAAUUAAAAAUGAAUUUCAUUCAUGACAAUUGAGCGAAAGUUUUUCCUUUCUUCAUGUUGCUUUCUUUGAUUUUUUUGUUAUUUUUAUUUACUCAUUUAUUGAUAAUCCAGGUUUUUUCACAUGUAUGGAUUGAGAAGAGUGGAGUAAAGUAAAACAGUAUCAGAAUAUCAGAUGCAGACUAAGAGUCCCUAAAACACCAAAAACAGAGCAUUCAAACUUUGUGACCUUUUAUCUGUUUCAGUUAAUGCGCACACACACACACACACACUUAUAUAUCAUGAACCUGAUUACAUAUGUGCAGGGAAAAGAAUAGAUGGAGAAGUAAAAAAAAGAAGCAAGGAAGUGAGAAUGGGAUGUAUAUGGAAGUGUUUUGACAGAGUGGCAAUCAUGGUCAAUGGGUGCAAGUCUAAGUCCCUGCCAGCAACUUAGUUCCGCACCCUCCCAUCAAACCACCCAUGGAUAUAAUAGAAAUAGUACAACUGAAAAGGAUAAACAAAAUUCUAGUUGCAUGUAUGUGUGCCAAAAAGGGUUUUGUAUGGGGGAGCCUGGGGAAGGAAUAAGGAAAGAAAACAAAGAAGAAGAACAAAAAACCCAUGGUAGUCCAUAAAAAAAAAAUAUAACAACAACAAUAAUACUAACAAUAGUUUAUAUAUACCUCCCAAUAAGAGAGUAAGCUACUAUAUUAUGUCCUGCACAAAGCUCCAGGCAGGGCUGAUUUUAAUGGGCUACGCUGCCUAGUCACUACCCUCCAAGUGGCAAGAACAUGGCCCAAUUGCCACAGUGGACCCAAUCCCUGCUGGCCUAUGGAGGACCCCACUUUCAGUAUCGCCCCCAAUAAUAUUCUGCCACAUGGUUAUCCAAUUUGUGCCAUUGACAAAUCAGUCUUUGUCCACAAAUUCAAUUGAAAAUGGCUCAAGUAUUUAUUUAUUUAUUUAUCUAAUUUUGGAAAAUUCAAUCACUUAAGCCAGAAAUGAAACAACAGAAGACUAAUCAUGAAUUGUAGAACUUCAACAAAAUGUUACCCUUCCUACUUUCCCUUCUUUCCUUGUUUUUUUAAACUAUGUACAUUUAGUUAUUUUGAUAAUUAUACAUUUGACAUGAUGGAUUCCCACAC
This 2484-nucleotide long non-coding RNA is filed under the name Physcomitrium patens. Its description in RNAcentral is "long non-coding RNA (PPAT_LNC004263)". The record is from RNAcentral. Lineage: Eukaryota; Viridiplantae; Streptophyta; Bryopsida; Funariales; Funariaceae.